Molecule: unclassified non-coding RNA, 335 nt
Filed under: soil metagenome
Description: partial contains 5.8S ribosomal RNA, internal transcribed spacer 2, and large subunit ribosomal RNA
Rfam family: 5.8S ribosomal RNA (bases 1-120)
Source: RNAcentral
GAUGAAGAACGCAGCGAAAUGCGAUAAGUAAUGUGAAUUGCAGAAUUCAGUGAAUCAUCGAAUCUUUGAACGCACAUUGCGCCCGCCAGUAUUCUGGCGGGCAUGCCUGUUCGAGCGUCAUUUCAACCAUCAAGCCCCCGGCUUGUGUUGGGGACCUGCGGCUGCCGCAGGCCCUGAAAACCAGUGGCGGGCUCGCUAGUCACUCCGAGCGUAGUAAUACAUCUCGCUUAGGGCGUGCUGCGGGUUCCGGCCGUUAAAAAGCCUUAUUUACCCAAGGUUGACCUCGGAUCAGGUAGGAAGACCCGCUGAACUUAAGCAUAUCAAUAAGCGGAGGA